Molecule: ribosomal RNA, 726 nt
Filed under: Bacillus sp. enrichment culture clone CBMAI_982
Lineage: Bacteria; Bacillati; Bacillota; Bacilli; Caryophanales; Bacillaceae
Description: bacterial SSU rRNA
Rfam family: Bacterial small subunit ribosomal RNA
Source: RNAcentral
GAUAACUCCGGGAAACCGGAGCUAAUACCGGAUAGUUCCUUGAACCGCAUGGUUCAAGGAUGAAAGACGGUUUCGGCUGUCACUUACAGAUGGACCCGCGGCGCAUUAGCUAGUUGGUGGGGUAAUGGCUCACCAAGGCGACGAUGCGUAGCCGACCUGAGAGGGUGAUCGGCCACACUGGGACUGAGACACGGCCCAGACUCCUACGGGAGGCAGCAGUAGGGAAUCUUCCGCAAUGGACGAAAGUCUGACGGAGCAACGCCGCGUGAGUGAUGAAGGUUUUCGGAUCGUAAAGCUCUGUUGUUAGGGAAGAACAAGUGCGAGAGUAACUGCUCGCACCUUGACGGUACCUAACCAGAAAGCCACGGCUAACUACGUGCCAGCAGCCGCGGUAAUACGUAGGUGGCAAGCGUUGUCCGGAAUUAUUGGGCGUAAAGGGCUCGCAGGCGGUUUCUUAAGUCUGAUGUGAAAGCCCCCGGCUCAACCGGGGAGGGUCAUUGGAAACUGGGAAACUUGAGUGCAGAAGAGGAGAGUGGAAUUCCACGUGUAGCGGUGAAAUGCGUAGAGAUGUGGAGGAACACCAGUGGCGAAGGCGACUCUCUGGUCUGUAACUGACGCUGAGGAGCGAAAGCGUGGGGAGCGAACAGGAUUAGAUACCCUGCUAGUCCACGCCGUAAACGAUGAGUGCUAAGUGUUAGGGGGUUUCCGCCCCUUAGUGCUGCAGCU